Molecule: long non-coding RNA, 124 nt
Organism: Aethalodelphis obliquidens (Pacific white-sided dolphin)
Lineage: Eukaryota; Metazoa; Chordata; Mammalia; Artiodactyla; Delphinidae
Exons: 3
Source: RefSeq, a predicted model, not a curated record
AGUGUAUAUAUCUUAGCUCCCAAAGUCUACUGCUUCAGUUUUGGGAUGAUUCAUUGUCUAUUCAGGUAUUCCACAGAUGCAGGGUACAUCAGGUUGAUUGUGGGGAUUUAAUCCAGUGCUUCUG